RNAcentral lists this unclassified non-coding RNA (646 nucleotides) under Homo sapiens (human). RNAcentral's name for it is "novel transcript (ENSG00000281367.2)". Lineage: Eukaryota; Metazoa; Chordata; Mammalia; Primates; Hominidae. The record is from RNAcentral.
GCAGUUCCUUGCCAAUUUUUGAUAGCAUUGCGUUCAUCCACUUUCUCAGGCAGGGACUAUAGGAAAUGAAGGUGAACUCGUGGAGAUUUUGGAGAGAAUUUAAUGAAGAGGCUGUUUACCAAGGAUCUCUCUCUGUCUCCGAGGCUGGAGUGCAAUGUUGCAAUCAGGGCUCACUGCAGCCUCGACCUCCUGGGCUCAACUGAUCUUCGUACCACAGCCUCAUGAGUAACUGGGACUACAGACGACCAUGGGCAUUUUUUCUAUGCAACUACAGAUAGUAUCUCAUGAUAUGAAUGGUCCUGGAUUUACUUACACAUCCUCCUUUGGAUGAGCAAGCACUGGUUCUGGUGGACACUGAGAGACAAUUUUUAUUUGCUGCACGUGGAAAGGACAACAACAUACCUGGACAGAAAUGCCUCGAGGAUGUACUGAAGGCCCCUCUCACUUUUCACAGCCAUAACUGUAAGUUUCCUGGGGCCUCUCCAGAAGACAAGCAGAUGCCGCUAUGCUUCCUGAACAGCCCACAGAACUAGACGAGGUUUCACCAUGCUAGCCAGGAUGUUCUUGAUCUCCUGACCUCAUGAUCUGCCCGCCUCGGCCUCCCAGUGUGCUGGGAUUACAGGCGUGAGCCACCGUGCCCAGCCAA